AUCACUUCUCUGCCUUUUGGCUAAGAUCAAGUGUAGUACCUGCUCUAUCUGAUACGUCCCCUACAUGGAGACCAUAUAUUAAAUUGAUUUUUGGAGCAGGGAGAUGGAAUAGGGGCUUGCUCCGUCCACUCCAUGCAUCGACCAGUAUUGCAGUAUCUCCGGGAACAGUGCACCCCUU
Larimichthys crocea (large yellow croaker) is the source of this 178-nucleotide small nuclear RNA. Its record names the gene U2. It matches the Rfam family "U2 spliceosomal RNA". Rfam says of the family: U2 is a small nuclear RNA (snRNA) component of the spliceosome (involved in pre-mRNA splicing). Complementary binding between U2 snRNA (in an area lying towards the 5' end but 3' to hairpin I) and the branchpoint sequence (BPS) of the intron results the bulging out of an unpaired adenosine, on the BPS, which initiates a nucleophilic attack at the intronic 5' splice site, thus starting the first of two transesterification reactions that mediate splicing. NCBI's taxonomy places the organism in Eukaryota, Metazoa, Chordata, Actinopteri, Sciaenidae. The record is from Ensembl.